GCACUGCUGACUAGCCCCAAACAGGACGAAACAGCUGUCCAGUGC
This 45-nucleotide non-coding RNA is filed under the name Echinostoma caproni. Lineage: Eukaryota; Metazoa; Platyhelminthes; Trematoda; Plagiorchiida; Echinostomatidae. The record is from RNAcentral.